CUGCCCUUGGGUCCGGCAUAACCCCGGGAAACUGGGGAUAAUUCCGGAUAACGCAUAUAUGCUGGAAUGCUUUAUGCGUCAAAUGGAUUCGUCUGCCCAAGGAUGGGUCUGCGGCCUAUCAGGUAGUAGUGGGUGUAAUGUACCUACUAGCCGACGACGGGUACGGGUUGUGAGAGCAAGAGCCCGGAGAUGGAUUCUGAGACAUGAAUCCAGGCCCUACGGGGCGCAGCAGGCGCGAAAACUUUACAAUGCGGGAAACCGUGAUAAGGGGACACCGAGUGCCAGCAUCAUAUGCUGGCUGUCCGGGUGUGUAAAAUACACCCGUUAGCAAGGGCCGGGCAAGACCGGUGCCAGCCGCCGCGGUAACACCGGCGGCCCGAGUGGUGAUCGUGAUUAUUGGGUCUAAAGGGUCCGUAGCCGGUUUGGUCAGUCCUCCGGGAAAUCUGACGGCUUAACCGUUAGGCUUUCGGAGGAUACUGCCAGGCUUGGAACCGGGAGAGGUAAGAGGUACUACAGGGGUAGGAGUGAAAUCUUGUAAUCCCUGUGGGACC
Molecule: ribosomal RNA, 551 nt
Filed under: Methanosarcina sp. enrichment culture clone D05
Lineage: Archaea; Methanobacteriati; Methanobacteriota; Methanomicrobia; Methanosarcinales; Methanosarcinaceae
Description: bacterial SSU rRNA
Rfam family: Archaeal small subunit ribosomal RNA
Source: RNAcentral